GAUGAACGCUGGCGGCGUGCCUAAUACAUGCAAGUCGAGCGAACAGACGAGGAGCUUGCUCCUCUGACGUUAGCGGCGGACGGGUGAGUAACACGUGGAUAACCUACCUAUAAGACUGGGAUAACUUCGGGAAACCGGAGCUAAUACCGGAUAACAUGUUGAACCGCAUGGUUCAACAGUGAAAGACGGUCUUGCUGUCACUUAUAGAUGGAUCCGCGCCGCAUUAGCUAGUUGGUAAGGUAACGGUUUACCAAGGAAACGAUGCGUAGCCGGCCUGAGAGGGUGAUCGGCCACACUGGAACUGAGACACGGUCCAGACUCCUACGGGAGGCAGCAGUAGGGAAUCUUGCACCAUGGGCGAAUGCCUGACGGUGCAACGCCGCGUGAGUGAUGAAGGUCUUCUGAUCGUAGAACUCUGUUAUUAGGGAAGAACAAAUGUGUAAGUAACUAUGCACGUCGUGACGGUACCUAAUCAGAAAGCCACGGCUAACUACGUG
This 497-nucleotide ribosomal RNA is filed under the name uncultured bacterium. Its description in RNAcentral is "partial 16S ribosomal RNA". It matches the Rfam family "Bacterial small subunit ribosomal RNA", at positions 28 to 507 of the family's 1533-position model. The record is from RNAcentral.